RNAcentral lists this ribosomal RNA (255 nucleotides) under uncultured bacterium. RNAcentral describes it as "partial 16S ribosomal RNA". It matches the Rfam family "Bacterial small subunit ribosomal RNA", at positions 524 to 776 of the family's 1533-position model. The record is from RNAcentral.
UACGUAGGGGGCUAGCGUUGUCCGGAAUCAUUGGGCGUAAAGCGCGUGUAGGCGGUCCGGUAAGUCCGCUGUGAAAGUCGGGGGCUCAACCCUCGAAUGCCGGUGGAUACUGUCGGGCUAGAGUGCGGAAGAGGCGAGUGGAAUUCCGUGGUGUAGCGGUGAAAUGCGCAGAUAUCAGGAGGAACACCAAUUGCGAAGGCAGCUCGCUGGGACGUUACUGACGCUGGAGACGCGAAAGCGUGGGGAGCAAACAGG